CCUUGACUUUCCUGGGAGUUGUCUUUUCCUGACAACAUGGACGACUGCUGGACAUAAUAUCGACUAUUUGUUGAUGAUUUGUAUAUUAAUGAAUGAUUGUAGAUAAUUUUUGAAGUCAGCAGUAUCAGCUAUUAACUCCUGUCACUCACAGUUUCCAGUACGGUACCAAUAAUCAUGGCAACGAUGCUGAAAUCUGGUCAAUUGUUAAAAGACGCAGCAAGAAUCUUUACAUCUUUGAUGCCAUCAAUAACAGCAAAAUCAGGUCAACAUAUCGGCGUGUAUAACAUUACCUGUCUACGAACAUUUAGUGUAGCUUCAAAUCCAGCCAUUUACAGAAACAAUGUGCCGCAAAAUCAAACAAAAUCAGCGCCCUUAUUACAAAAAAAUACAAAUAUUUUCAACCCAUUUGUGCUUCAUAGCCAAGUUCGACAUUACAAAUCUAAAAACAUUUUACGUCUUCGGUGCUCGGGUUGUUAUUUUGUGAAAAAAAAUGAAAGACUUUUUGUGGAAUGUAAAUUAAAACCACGACACAAGCAGAUGAAGAAGAUGCCAAACUGGGCGUUAUAUAAAGAAGAUUAUUCGGAAGGAAAUAUAAAAAGGGCGCUGCAUUGGAAUUAUUUUCACGAGAGAGAUUAUCAGAUGGGAAAUAAUAAAUUUGCGAAGUAUAAUUGGCUAGAAGGAAAAUUAGGACAUACAUUAUAGAGAUGGAUAGAGAGAAUAGUAGUAUAAAUAGAUAUAUUAUAAAUAGAAAUAUUAAAUAUGGUUUGAUUUAAGAUACAAAUGUUAUGUAAGAGGUCUUUUUUCUCGUGGGGAGGGGGAAUGGUUAACGCAUAAUUGAGUCAAGUGACAUGGUUUCGAUUUUCCACUUGUUUGUGACAAGGAGUAGGCCCGUCUGUACAACCUCGUAGGUUCUCCGGGUCCCCCGCUUUCCCGCCACUGCUACUAACCCCAACCCGCAAGGGAAUUAUUGAAAUAAAAUUGAACCAUAUGUUAGUCCCGUCAUGAACUAUUUUGUGUCAAGUGAAUGUUAAACCCGAUUUCUCUCUCUCUCUUUUCUGGCUUCAGACGUUAAUGUUAUAUUCACAUGAGAAGCUCCGAAUCAACUCUCAAGAACAUCUGAUGGCUGCGAUAUUACGUGGAUUAGACCAUCUGUACCAUUUAAUUAACUUUAAAAAAGAAUAUUAAGAUUUUGUUUAUUAUUGUAGUAAUGACAAUCGAGACUGUUUAUUAUUGUAGCAAUGACAAUCGAAACUAGGCUAUUUGAAUGAAAUUUUUAAUAUGUUUAUUUGUCGUUAUCUUUUUUAAACUAUUACAGUAUUUCAAGAACGACCAUCUCUUUAUCUAUAUCUAAAACAUUUUGUUUUUUAUUAAAGCAAUAACAAUUGAGACUAUACACUAUUUGAAUGAUGCGCUGUAUCAUAAAGUCUGUCAUUGAGUCAACUGGCGUGGUUUCGAAUCCCCAGUUGUACGUGACAAGGAGUAGGGUCACCUGUCCAACCUCGUGGGUUUUCUCCGGGUCCUCCGGUUUCCUCCCACUGCUAAAGACCCGUACGCGCAAGCGAAUUAUUG
Molecule: long non-coding RNA, 1569 nt
Organism: Patella vulgata (common limpet)
Lineage: Eukaryota; Metazoa; Mollusca; Gastropoda; Patellidae
Exons: 2
Source: RefSeq, a predicted model, not a curated record